GACGAACGCUGGCGGCGUGCUUAACACAUGCAAGUCGAACGAAGUGGCGAACGGGUGAGUAACGCGUAAUCAACCUGCCCUUCGGAGGGGGCCACCAGUUGGAAACGACUGCUAAUACCGCAUACUGAAGGAGGGGAUUGCGUCUGAUUAGCUAGUUGGAGGGGCAACGGCCCACCAAGGCGAUGAUCAGUAGCCGGUUUGAGAGGGUGAACGGCCACAUUGGGACUGAGAACCGGCCCAGACUCCUACGGGAGGCAGCAGGUGGGAAACUUUCGCAAUGGACGAAAGUCUGACGGAGCAACGCCGCGUUAGUGAUGACGGCCUUCGGGUUGGAAAGCUCUGUUAAUCGGGACGCGGUACCGGAAUAGAAAGCCACGGCUAACUACGUGCCAGCAGCCGCGGUAAUUC
This 408-nucleotide ribosomal RNA is filed under the name uncultured bacterium. RNAcentral's name for it is "partial 16S ribosomal RNA". It matches the Rfam family "Bacterial small subunit ribosomal RNA", at positions 28 to 526 of the family's 1533-position model. The record is from RNAcentral.